RNAcentral lists this ribosomal RNA (292 nucleotides) under uncultured bacterium. RNAcentral describes it as "partial 16S ribosomal RNA". The record is from RNAcentral.
GGACUACUGGGGUAUCUAAUCCCGUUCGCUCCCCUAGCUUUCGCCCCUCAGCGUCAGGUGCCAUCCAGGACAGUGCCUUCGCCUUUGGUGUUCUUCCGGAUAUCUACGCAUUUCACCACUCCACCCGGAGUUCCCUGUCCCUCUCUGGCCCUCAAGUCUCCCCGUUUCGUGACCACUCUCCCAGGUAAGCCAGGAGCUGUCACCCACGACGCGAGAGACCGCCUGCGCGCGCUUUACGCCCAGUAACUCCGGACAACGCUUGCCCCCUACGUAUUACCGCGGCGGCUGGCAC